RNAcentral lists this transfer RNA (71 nucleotides) under Dendronephthya gigantea. RNAcentral's name for it is "tRNA-Gly". It matches the Rfam family "tRNA". Rfam says of the family: Transfer RNA (tRNA) molecules are approximately 80 nucleotides in length. Their secondary structure includes four short double-helical elements and three loops (D, anti-codon, and T loops). Lineage: Eukaryota; Metazoa; Cnidaria; Anthozoa; Malacalcyonacea; Nephtheidae. The record is from RNAcentral.
GUGGUGGUGGUUCAGUGGUAGAAUUCUCGCCUGCCACGCGGGAGACCGGGGUUCGAUUCCCCGCUAGCGCA